AGCUAAUUGACACUUGUACCACACUUUUGCUUUAUCAAACCACGUUUACUUCACAACUUCAGACAUACUAUAACUCUUCGCUCCUCCGAUUCUCUCUACUCGGCUGCUCUCUCCGAUUUUCUUUUUUGCUUCGCUAUUUCAAGGUGGUCAUUUAUUGGUUAUAUCUUUAGGAAACACAUGGCACCGAGAUUCAACAUCGACCGAAUAACAAUUGACACACCAAAUUGGACUUGCAAAGUCCAAAUAGUGGACAUGAGUCGCAAGCGAGAAAGCCCUGAGAGGAAAAUCAGAUUUUUUGGAAGAUGAAGAGGCUGCAAACAGAAAACGCGCACGAAAGGAACAAGGGAAUUUGAAUGCAAGAAGUGUAAUGACAGACAAUAUGAGUGCCUCGGUAUUAUGUUUUCGCCAUUCAUAUAAAUUUCAUUUCUGCAGAAUAUAGCAUAUGUGUGCAAGUAUUAAACUCGCUAUGGUUUCAGGUGUACCGUCCAAGUUUAUCUUAUUGAUGGUAAUGGCUUGCUAACAACAUUUAUUUCUAGUGAUCCAGUUGAAAAAAUGCUCUUCAUGAGAGCAGAAUAUAUAUUUGACACGACUAACGUCAAGGUUGCCCCUUAUUUAUAUGUAUUAGUAUACUUUAUAUAUGUUUUUAGUUUCCUAUUUCUGCCAAAGUUGUGCAGCCACAAUAAAUCAUUUUAGCAUGCAAAACACCAUAUGUAUAAACAUUAAUAUUAGCUUCAUCUUUAUGAGAUAUUUUAUCAAAAUCUAAGAAAUGACUCUUUCCGUUUUCAGAACUAGCUCCUGCCAACAUAAAAUGUUGUCGGACAGACAGUUCUGAAUUCAACUCCGCCUGUGUGAGCUCGCUCACAUUGCCGGUCCCAAGCCCGGAUAAAGGAGGAGGGUUGCUGAGGGUCAAUCGGAAACAGCCUCCCUACCCAGGUAGGGGUAAGGCUGCGUACAUCUUACCCUCCCCAGACCCCACUAUUGUGGGAUUACACUGGGUAGUGACCAAGACCAAGACAGUUCUGAAUUCAAUUAAGAAAGUCAUCCUGGAGAAGCUCUAACGACGCACAGACAGUUGUAUCAAUUAUGUCCUACGUUGAAGGGGAACCGAUCUUUCCACCUAGCAUGAAUGAGAGGAAUAGUAAAAAAGUCGAGCCGCUAAGCAUAAGUGAGGUAGACAUGGAAGAAGCAGUUAUUGCAUCUGAAUCUUCAAAAUAAGGGCUGAAAUUUCAACCACCCACACCAACACAAAAGUUGUAAAAGGGAGUAUCUUCCUUUUUUUUGUGAAUUUUGCUUAUCGGAAAAGAGAAGUUUUUUGGAUUCUCUGCAACUUCGCUCAGUAGGGUGGAACAAUCAUUGAAAACUAAGGAGGAUGAAGUAAAUGAUAUGCAGGUUAUUCAGCUUUUUUGCGGUCUCAAUGUUCCACAUUUACAAGUAGACAGGGAGGCGAGCUUGAUCCAGAUUCUUAGGAGCUGACAGCGGACUGAAAGCACUCCAUUGUUCGGAGGUGCUUAUGACUAUUCCUUUGGUGUAUAUACAUUUUGGGCCCGACGGAGUCUUGUUCCGUCUAUAUGUACAAUAUGUCAGUAGAGGCUCGUAGAUGCGCAGUGUGGGUAGUAUGGUCUCACAUUUUUCAUGUAUAUGUGUACUUAUUAUUUUGAUAUACCAAAGAUAUAUAUAUAUAUAUAUAUAUAUA
Lycium barbarum (goji berry) is the source of this 1693-nucleotide long non-coding RNA. RefSeq lists it as uncharacterized. The record is from RefSeq and is a predicted model, not a curated record. The transcript is spliced from 5 exons. Lineage: Eukaryota; Viridiplantae; Streptophyta; Magnoliopsida; Solanales; Solanaceae.